UAAAGUCUAAUCUGCCCACUGAUAUAAUAUUAAAGGGCUGCAGUAUUUUGACUGUACAAAGGUAGCAUAAUCAUUAGUCUUUUAAUUGAAGACUUGUAUGAAUGAUUGGAUGAAAUAUAAACUGUCUCUAAUAUUAUUAGUUAGAAUUUAAUUUUUUUAUUAAAAAGUAAAAAUAAAUUUAAAAGACGAGAAGACCCUAUAGAGUUUUAUAAUUAAUUUAAUUGAAAUUAUUUAUAAAGAUAAUUUUAAAUUAAUAAAUUAAAAUUAAGUUAAUUAUUUUGUUGGGGUGAUAAAAAAAUAAAAAUAACUUUUUUUAAUAAAUAUAUAUAUAUAUAUAUAUAUAUAUAUAUUGUAAACAAAAAUAAAUGAUUUUUUGAUCCAGAAUUUUUGAUUAUAAGAAAAAAUUACCUUAGGGAUAACAGCGUAAUUUUUUUUUUUAGUUCAAAUAAGAAAAAGAGUUUGCGACCUCGAUGUUGGAUUAAGGAAAAAUUUAAAUGCAAAAGUUUAAAAUUUUG
Molecule: ribosomal RNA, 515 nt
Filed under: Cryptoses choloepi
Lineage: Eukaryota; Metazoa; Arthropoda; Insecta; Lepidoptera; Pyralidae
Description: partial 16S ribosomal RNA
Source: RNAcentral